This is a long non-coding RNA of Canis lupus familiaris (dog), 1441 nucleotides long. RefSeq lists it as uncharacterized. Lineage: Eukaryota; Metazoa; Chordata; Mammalia; Carnivora; Canidae. The transcript has 7 exons. The record is from RefSeq and is a predicted model, not a curated record.
UGGACAAUGAUGUCCUCAUGGAAAUAGUUGUUCCUUCCACAACACAGCUGGGUCAUGAGCACAUAAGGCUGGGAAAAGCGAAGUCACAAGUGGGAGAGAAGGCUGGACAUAGUAGCAUUAGUCACCGGUCAGAUGUGAGAGGCAUUUGCUCUUGUGCAGCGGCAGAGGGUUCUGAGGCUUCCAGGCUGAGGGUGUCACGAGAUCCUUCCUCAAAUUCAGCCAACAAGAAGCAUGAGGAAAAAUUUCCCGGCCUGCCUUCCACCUAAGCGCCCUGAUACAUAUGCUGCCAUGUGUUCAUGAGCGACACGGAAGAGCACAGCUCAUGUGGCUCCGGCAAGGAGGCCGCAUGCUGACCAGUACCAAGUGGAGAGAAAUGAAAAGCCCUUACAGGGACUGCUGGAUUACACCCGGAGAGACUGCAAACCCCUUCUCAGAUUUCACAAAGACUGGCAAAAUUUUUUUCAUGUUUCAGUGCUCAUUUCUGAGGAGGAAACAGAUGGAUGGUAGUGGGGGCCUCAAAAGUGUUUUUGCAAAUUACCUCACAAACUUAUAGCUGUUCAAAAAAUAGAAGCCAACCUUCACAGUCACCCCGGCCAAGAUCUUUGCAAGAAAUCCGUCUUUUGCUCUUGCCAGCUAUAGGACCUAAAGAUCAUAGUAGUGAGGACUGCUGAAAUGUCUGAAAUCAAAGAAAGGGAAGGUUAUUAUUUGAUACUCAGGGUGCCAUCCACAGUGCCAGCAUGCUGCACAGAACUCUCAAGAACUGAACAAUGACUCGGAACCCAGAUUCUAAUGAUAUCAUGAGAAAUUUAAUGUCAGCAAGACAUUAAGAAGAGACCUAUGACUGUAAUGGCUAACACAGCAGAUCAUAUAAGGUGCAAUGACUGAAAAAGAAAAAAAAGACACCUGGAAUCUUUGUUUUCAUGGUGAUGAAUGCUUUUCUCAUGAUAGUGGAAUUUACAAUAUAUUUUAUUUUUUUAUUUUUCUUAUUAGCUUCAGAUCAUCUUUCUUCCAGGUUCAUUCUCAAGUAUAUUCUUUAGAAGUUCUUUCAUAACAGUCUAUUGAGUAGCAAACUCUUCUAGGUUUUUAUGUUUGAAAAUAUAAAAAUCCUUUACUCUCAAAUAAUAGCCUAGCUGGGCAUAGAAUACUGAGUUGAAAAUAAUUUUCCCUCAACAAUUUGAAUAUAUUACUUUAUUUUCUUUUGGCAUUUAUUGCUACUCUUAAGACAUCUGUAGCUACUCUGUCAUUUGUCACAAGUUAUGUUUAGUCUCUUGGUAGCUUUUAAAAUAUCUUUAUCCCUGAUAGUCUGCAAUUGUACCAUGAAGUGUUUAGGUUGUAAUUUCUUUUAAAUAAUCCUAUUUUUGGGACGCCUGGGUGGCUCAGCGGUUGAGCAACUGUCUUUGGCUCAGGACGUGAUGCCGGGGUUCUGGGAUCGAGUCCCACA